UACGGGGGGGGCAAGCAUUGUUCGGAAUUACUGGGCGUAAAGGGCUCGUAGGCGGCCAACUAAGUCAGACGUGAAAUCCCUCGGCUUAACCGGGGAACUGCAUCUGAUACUGGAUGGCUUGAGUUCGGGAGAGGGAUGCGGAAUUCCAGGUGUAGCGGUGAAAUGCGUAGAUAUCUGGAGGAACACCGGUGGCGAAGGCGGCAUCCUGGACCGACACUGACGCUGAGGAGCGAAAGCCAGGGGAGCAAGCGGG
Molecule: ribosomal RNA, 253 nt
Filed under: uncultured bacterium
Lineage: Bacteria
Description: partial 16S ribosomal RNA
Rfam family: Bacterial small subunit ribosomal RNA
Source: RNAcentral